ACCAAUCAGAGUAACCAUCUAGCAAUGGUGCCCAAUGUCCGGAUAGGUCAAAUGUAUGCAAAACAACACUCAAGAACCUAUUUAGAUAUAGUUACAAUAUAAUUCAUCUCUUUGACCCUUGAUGCUAAGAUGACUUAGAGAUUAAACUAUCAACUCUUAAUUGUUCAUCCAUUAUGUGUCUUAACUUAAUAAAUCCUAUGGCUCCUCAAAAAGAUUACCCUGACCA
Molecule: long non-coding RNA, 226 nt
Filed under: Elaeis guineensis (African oil palm)
Lineage: Eukaryota; Viridiplantae; Streptophyta; Magnoliopsida; Arecales; Arecaceae
Description: long non-coding RNA (EGUI_LNC061539)
Source: RNAcentral